UCCCCCGGAUUAUAUUGGGGGUAUUACCUGCCCUAUGCGUAAAGUAAAUGGCCGCAGUAUACCUGACUGUGCUAAGGUAGCAUAAUUACUUGACACUUAAUUAGUGUCUUGUUUGAAUGGUUUAACGAGAUUAAUGAUUUUUUUAUUUUAAAAGAAUUUUUAAUUCUUGUAAGAAUACUAGUUUAUAAAGAAAGACGAGAAGACCCUACAGAGCUUUUAAGCUAUAGAUAAAGUUUAUUAGAUGGGGCAUCAGAAUUUUUUUCAAAAAUUUUUUGUUCUUCUUAGGAAAGAAGGUAAAGUUACCUUAGGGAUAACAGAGUAAUUUCUUUUGAGAGUACUUAUUGAGAAAGAAGUUUGCUACCUCGAUGUUGGAUCAAAAUUACUAUUUGGUUGCAGGAGCUAAAAGAGUGUGUCUGUUCGACAUUAAAAAUUUUACG
RNAcentral lists this ribosomal RNA (437 nucleotides) under Prorhynchus tasmaniensis. RNAcentral describes it as "partial 16S ribosomal RNA". It matches the Rfam family "Bacterial large subunit ribosomal RNA", at positions 1829 to 2600 of the family's 2925-position model. Lineage: Eukaryota; Metazoa; Platyhelminthes; Prorhynchida; Prorhynchidae. The record is from RNAcentral.